Molecule: long non-coding RNA, 359 nt
Organism: Nematostella vectensis (starlet sea anemone)
Lineage: Eukaryota; Metazoa; Cnidaria; Anthozoa; Actiniaria; Edwardsiidae
Exons: 3
Source: RefSeq, a predicted model, not a curated record
AGAGCACUGGCACUAUAAACCAUAAAUAGUGCCAAGGCUAGGGAGAGCAGGAAUCUGCUGUCGAUCGCGCUUUUCGUAUUGAUACCUCCUUCCAGAGGACAAGAGAUCCGGACACUGCGAAUUGCCCCGUCCGGUGACAGAGAACACGUCCAGGGACUGAAUUCAUUAGUCUUGAAUUCAGAUGGCACCCUCAUGUUCAGAUUCGAGGAUUACAAAACAUAUGGCUCUCAUGGGGUUGAUGUCACAAAUUUGCCAGAAGAUCACAGAUUGAACGUCAUCAUAAGGGAAUAUCUGGACAAAUACAGAGAUAUUCUUCUCGACGCCGCUGACGAUGGCACAACCAACAAUUUUCUUCUCCU